GACCCAGGCGGCGGCGGCGACCCGCACCCAGCCCGCGCCCCCGGCCCGGCGCGCCCUGAUGGCCACCUCCCUGCAGCUACCGCAAACCGAGCCGAGGGGCUGCCACCGCCUCCCGGCUCCUGACCAAUCGGCGGCCGCGGAGGGAAUUCGGAUGCUCCGGUGCCGCCGCGCUCCCGCGCCUGCCCGCCCCCGCCUCCGUGACGAGGAUUGAGGCCGCAGCAGUGACGGUGGAGAGGCCGCAGCCGGGCUCGGGCACCGAUUCUGGGGCGGCGAGAACGCAGAUGCUGUGGUCUCACCAAAUGUCCAGGGGCUCCAUCCUGAUGGAACACCUGACCCCACUGCACAGCGGGGAGCCGCGACUCAGAGAGUCCGAAGUUGGCGGGUCAUAAUUUGGCUUCUGUUGCUGUUUCUCAGAGGGAACUGCUGAACUGGAAAAGGCCCAGUACCGAAGGAACAGACUUUUAAUUAUAUAGCUCGUCAUCUCCUUUCUUCCAGGUACUUGGGUUGGUUAAUGCCCUGAGCCCCACUGCAGGGAAAAGAUGAGCCAGCAGGAACGGUCUGCUGAUGAGAACUCUGUGCCGGAAGUGCAUGGACAUGGUUGACUGGGGUUAGAUCAAGAGUGGAGAAGGAAAGGCAAGCCUUGCUUCCAGUCACCAGUGUCAGUGGAGCCAAGAAGCCAGGAUGAGAUUCUAUGAUGAGAAAAGAGAAAAAUGUCACAGCAAUAAAAGUUGUACUGGUUUCUGUUACCAGAGGCCUACGUUGAAACAUAAUUGAUACAGAAAUACUAAACAGCAAACAAGACGAAGAAUAACCUGUAAAAUAGUCACUUCUGUUACUAAUGGUGGAAUUUUUAUAAAUCAGAGGCUUUCAUACAUAUAAGCUUUCAUAUAAUUAUUAAAAUGUUGAACCAUUUUUUAAUAUUAAUUUUUAACCAUUAAAAUAGACCAUUACUCCAUACGAUCAUGAAAAAGCUAGAUACAUAAUGACACAGAAAGAUGCACUGAUGAAUAAACAAGCGACACAUGUAUGUGAUCACCUUCAAUUUUUGUAUAUAAAAUCUUUGUAUAGAGUAAGGUGCAAUUUGUAUAAUAAGAGCACACAUAUUGAUAUAAAGGUAACUUCCUGGGAAAAUGCAUAGAAAAGCUUUGCAAUGUCUAUCUGUUAUUAGAACCGGUGGUUGGAGGAAAAAAGAUUUUAACUUUUUGUAUCAUGGCCUUCUGUACCUUUUUAUUUUUUCUAUGCAGAUAUAAUACUUUUUUAAAAUUUUUACUGGAGUAUAGUUGAUGUACAGUAUUGUGUUAGUUUCAAGUGUACAGCAAAGUGAAUCUGUUAUACAUAUAUCCACUCUUUUUUAAGAUUCUUUUCCUAAACAGGCCGUUGCAAAAUAUUGAGCAGACUUCCCUGUGCGAUACAGUAGGUCCUUAACAGUUGCCUAUUUUAUAUGUUGUAGUGUGUAUAUGGAGAAGGCAAUGGCACCCACUCCAGUACUCUUGCUUGGAAAAUCCCAU
RNAcentral lists this long non-coding RNA (1508 nucleotides) under Capra hircus (goat). RNAcentral's name for it is "lncRNA (ENSCHIG00010023665.1)". The record is from RNAcentral. Lineage: Eukaryota; Metazoa; Chordata; Mammalia; Artiodactyla; Bovidae.